Oncorhynchus tshawytscha (Chinook salmon) is the source of this 1614-nucleotide long non-coding RNA. The record is from Ensembl. NCBI's taxonomy places the organism in Eukaryota, Metazoa, Chordata, Actinopteri, Salmoniformes, Salmonidae.
ACCUCUCUUCCUUCUAUCCCCAAGGCGACCUCUCUCCCUUUUAUCCCAAAAGAUACCUCUCUUCCUUCUAUCCCUAAGGUGACCUCUCUUCCUUCUAUCCCUAAAGUGACCUCUCUUCCUUCUAUCCCUAAAGUGACCUCUUCCUUCUAUCCCUAAGGUGACCUCUCUUCCUUCUAUCCCUAAAGUGACCUCUCUUCCUUUUAUCCCUAAAGUGACUUCUAUCCCUAAAGUGACUUCUAUCCCUAAAGUGACCUCUCUUCCUUCUAUCCCUAAGGUGACCUCUCUUCCUUCUAUCCCUAAAGUGACUUCUAUCCCUAAAGUGACUUCUAUCCCUAAAGUGACCUCUCUUCCUUCUAUCCCUAAGGUGACCUCUCUUCCUUCUAUCCCUAAGGUGACCUCUCUUCCUUCUAUCCCUAAGGUGACCUCUCUUCCUUCUAUCCCCUAAGGUGACCUCUCUUCCUUCUAUCCCUAAGGUGACCUCUCUUCCUUCUAUCCCUAAGGUGACCUCUCUUCCUUCUAUCCCUAAGGUGACCUCUCUUCCUUCUAUCCCUAAGGUGACCUCUCUUCCUUCUAUCCCUAAGGUGACCUCUCUUCCUUCUAUCCCUAAAGUGACCUCUUGUCCUUCUAUCCCUAAAGUAACUUCUAUCCCUAAAAUGCACUCUCUUCCUUCUAUCCCUAAAGUGACCUCUCUUCCUUCUAUCCAUAAAGUAACUUCUAUCCCUAAAGUGCACUCUCUUCCUUCUAUCCCUAAAGUGACCUCUCUUCCUUCUAUCCAUAAAGUAACUUCUAUCCCUAAAGUGCACUCUCUUCCUUCUAUCCCUAAAGUGACCUCUCGUCCUUCUAUCCAUAAAGUAACUUCUAUCCCUAAAGUGCACUCUCUUCCUUCUAUCCCUAAAGUGAACUCUCUUCCUUCUAUCCCUGAAGUGACCUCUCUCCCUUCUAUCCCUAAAGUGAACUCUCGUCCUUCUAUCCCUAAAGUAACUUCUAUCCCUAAGGUGACCUCUCUUCCUUCUAUCCCUAAAGUGACCUCUCUUCCUUCUAUCCCUAAAGUGACCUCUCGUCCUUCUAUCCCUAAAGUAACUUCUAUCCCUAAGGUGACCUCUCUUCCUUCUAUCCCUAGGCGACCUCUCUUCCUUCUAUCCCUAAAGUGACCUCUCGUCUUUCUAUCCCUAAAGUAACUUCUAUGCCUAAGGUGACCUCUCUUCCUUCUAUCCCUAAAGUGACCUCUCUUCCUUCUAUCCCUAAGGUGACCUCUCUUCCUUCUAUCCCAGAGUGACCAAUAAGAUUUGAUUUGUAUGCAUGUUAGGCUAUACACCAGUUAUUUAUGCAGAUUAAUGUGCUUCAUUUUAAAGAGUUAUUUGGCCACUUUAGUGCAGUUCAAGAAGAGUUAAGAAAGUAUUUACCAAAUAAGCUUAAGUAAAAAAUUGUUUUUUUAAAUUACACAAUAAAAUACCAAUAACGAGGCUUUAUACAGGGGGUACCGGUACCGAGUCAAUUUGGAGGCUAUAUACAGGGGGUACCGGUACCGAGUCAAUUUGGAGGCUAUAUACAGGGGGUACCGGUACAGAGUCAAUUUGGAGGCUAUAUACAGGGGGUACCGGUACAGAGUCAAUU